UGUAGUCAUAUGCUUGUCUCAAAGAUUAAGCCAUGCAUGUCUAAGUAUAAGCAAUUAUACAGCGAAACUGCGAAUGGCUCAUUAAAUCAGUUAUCGUUUAUUUGAUAGUACCUUACUACAUGGAUAACCGUGGUAAUUCUAGAGCUAAUACAUGCUAAAAACCCCAACUUCGGAAGGGGUGUAUUUAUUAGAUUAAAAACCAAUGCCCUUCGGGGCUCCCUGGUGAUUCAUAAUAACUUCUCGAAUCGCACGGCCUUGCGCCGGCGAUGGUUCAUUCAAAUUUCUGCCCUAUCAACUUUCGACGGCAGGGUCUUGGCCUGCCAUGGUGACAACGGGUAACGGAGGGUUAGGGCUCGACCCCGGAGAAGGAGCCUGAGAAACGGCUACUACAUCCAAGGAAGGCAGCAGGCGCGCAAAUUACCCAAUCCCGACUCGGGGAGGUAGUGACAAUAAAUACUGAUACAGGGCUCUUUUGGGUCUUGUAAUUGGAAUGAGUACAAUUUAAAUCCAUUAACGAGGAACAAUUGGAGGGCAAGUCUGGUAAUCG
RNAcentral lists this ribosomal RNA (547 nucleotides) under uncultured eukaryote. Its description in RNAcentral is "SSU rRNA". It matches the Rfam family "Eukaryotic small subunit ribosomal RNA", at positions 21 to 570 of the family's 1831-position model. The record is from RNAcentral.